This is a non-coding RNA of Camellia sinensis, 946 nucleotides long. The record is from RefSeq and is a predicted model, not a curated record. NCBI's taxonomy places the organism in Eukaryota, Viridiplantae, Streptophyta, Magnoliopsida, Ericales, Theaceae.
AAAUACUAAAAUGUAAACCUAAUCCAGGUCCAGCAGCUUCACCUCACUCGUUCACGCCUCUCACUCUUCUGAGGUCUCUAUAUCGAUGGUGUCUCUCUCUCUUCUCUUUCCCAUCUCAGACUGAGUUCUCUCUCUCACACUCUCAUCCAUCUCAGAUCAGAUCGGUGUGCUGCUGCUCGUCUCUCUCUGUCGAUCAUCCAUCGCAGAUUAGAUCGAUUGUUUCAUGUCAUCUACAGUGGAUUCGGUAAAUGUAAGUAGGAGGUUUUUUUUUUUCUGUUUUUAUUUUUAUUAUUUUUAUGUUUUCAUUAUGUUUUUAUUUAGAUCGAUUGUUUAUGUUUUAUGUUUUCAUUAUGUCACACUCUGAAAUGUGAUUGUUCAUGUUAUCUGGUUUUGUUCUGUUUUAUCUCAGACUGAGUUUUCUGUGUUUUUUUUUUGAUCCAUUUGAACCCAUGAUUUAUAGCUUGGAUUAUUAACCUGUUUAUGAGUUUCUUUAUCAACAGUCUUUCUUGAUGGUGCAACAAUUGUGCCAUCUAUAUAGCCAAAUAGGUCAUUGCAAAUCAGGAUCAAUGUAAAUUGGUCUCUCCAUAACAGAAUAUUUUUUAAUCAAAUUUUAACAGAUACAUGGUUGAUAAUAUUGUGGAGAUGAACAGUUAAAGAAGAAAGUGGAAAGAGCUGAUGGCCAAUGGCCAUAUUAGUAAGAGAGAAAGAGGGAGACAAAGUAUAUGAGAGAGAGAUGUCUCUGGCUCCAAUACCAUAAAAUACUGGAGGACCCAAACAGGGUUGAGAAUGUAUAUUCAUAUAUGGGAAGGAUUUGACAAAACCCUCAUUUGAAUAUUUACAAUAAUACCCACAAAUGUGUACAACAUUUAUAACAUUACAUCCUAACACAGUUUUCUCUGGAUGUGCAUCUCUUACUAAUAAAAUAUAAGAAUGCUUUUAAUUAAAA